AGCAAAUGUAUCAAUCCAGUGUCGAAAACACAACGAAUAUCCUCCUUAUCAAGUGGCAACGACUCCCUAGGAGCACUCUCAUGAGAUGGAGGAGGAAUCAUAUUGUUCUCAACACAAAAAUCAGCAAGCGAAUCAUAAUCAGAGUAACAAGCAAGAGGAGAAUUAUAGACACAGGUAGAAUAAGAAUUACUCACAUAGCCAAAAUAGGUAGACAUGUAGAAAGAAGGGGGAAAAGAAGAAUGCAAUGAAAAUAUGCAACUAAAGCUACCUAAAUGCAACACACAAUGACGAACACACAAAACGGAACAACACACUCACAACACGAGACAAAACACAACAAAAGACCUAAAACCGAACUGUUGGUCCCCGGCAACGGUGCCAAAAUUUUGAUGGGUGUCGCACCCCAUGCAAAAUUUAAUGUGCAUAAAAGAAUGCAGUAUAGACUAGGAAGUGACUCCUAGGUUGUCUCUCAAGGACCAAAUCGCGGUUCAAGAAUUAGGUCUAACACGAAGGGGGGGUUUGAAAUUUGUUUUUGUGAUAAGCAUUGAACUAAAUUAAAAUGAAAAUUAAACACAACCAAGUAUAAUUAAAAUCAUUAAAAUAAAGAUUAGAAUUAAAAUUGAAAUAAAAAUAAAAGAUAAGACACUAAAGAAAAUAAUCGACUGAAAAUUAAUUUAAACAUGCAUUGCAUAAGGAAAAUGAGACAUGGAAACACAGGGAAUGUAAAGAUAUAAUUAAUGCAUGAAUUGUAAAUUAAAAAAAAUAAAUUCUAAGUUAUCUAUCACAGCAUGUCAACACGAAAUCAACACUUAAAAAAAUGCAUGACAUUAAUAGUAAAAUAAAUUAGUAAACU
RNAcentral lists this long non-coding RNA (853 nucleotides) under Vigna radiata. RNAcentral's name for it is "long non-coding RNA (VRAD_LNC002045)". The record is from RNAcentral. Lineage: Eukaryota; Viridiplantae; Streptophyta; Magnoliopsida; Fabales; Fabaceae.